UACGUAGGGGGCAAGCGUUGUCCGGAAUCAUUGGGCGUAAAGAGCGUGUAGGCGGCCCGAUAAGUCCGUCGUGAAAGUCCAGGGCUCAACCCUGGAAUGCCGGUGGAUACUGUCGGGCUAGAGUCCGGAAGAGGCGAGUGGAAUUCCUGGUGUAGCGGUGAAAUGCGCAGAUAUCAGGAGGAACACCAAUGGCGAAGGCAGCUCGCUGGGACGGUACUGACGCUGAGACGCGAAAGCGUGGGGAGCAAACAGG
This 253-nucleotide ribosomal RNA is filed under the name uncultured bacterium. RNAcentral describes it as "partial 16S ribosomal RNA". It matches the Rfam family "Bacterial small subunit ribosomal RNA", at positions 524 to 776 of the family's 1533-position model. The record is from RNAcentral.